CUUUUUCUCUUAUUUUUUGAAUUUGUCCAGCCCAAUAAUUACUCGCCUCCUGUUCGUCAUUUCGUCUUCAUUCUUCUGUAUAUAUAUAUUUUUUAAAAUUUUUAAAAUUUUUUUCUCUUUCUUUUUGUACCCCAGUUUCAGUUUCUAUGCGUAUAACAAGUACGCGUUAAUGUCGUUAAUUUUUUUUUUGUAUUUUUUUUAAUUUUAAGCGUUGAUUUUUAGGUAGAGAAAUGGAGAAAGCUUUUUUUUUUUUUUAAU
This 258-nucleotide unclassified non-coding RNA is filed under the name Hevea brasiliensis (rubber tree). Lineage: Eukaryota; Viridiplantae; Streptophyta; Magnoliopsida; Malpighiales; Euphorbiaceae. The record is from RNAcentral.